UGGGGAAUCGUCUAACGGUAGGACGACAGACUCUGAAUCUGUUAGUCAAGGUUCGAAUCCUUGUUCCCCAGCCA
This 74-nucleotide transfer RNA is filed under the name Dehalococcoidia bacterium. Its description in RNAcentral is "tRNA-Gln". It matches the Rfam family "tRNA". Rfam says of the family: Transfer RNA (tRNA) molecules are approximately 80 nucleotides in length. Their secondary structure includes four short double-helical elements and three loops (D, anti-codon, and T loops). Further hydrogen bonds mediate the characteristic L-shaped molecular structure. tRNAs have two regions of fundamental functional importance: the anti-codon, which is responsible for specific mRNA codon recognition, and the 3' end, to which the tRNAs corresponding amino acid is attached (by aminoacyl-tRNA synthetases). tRNAs cope with the degeneracy of the genetic code in two manners: having more than one tRNA (with a specific anti-codon) for a particular amino acid; and 'wobble' base-pairing, i.e. permitting non-standard base-pairing at the 3rd anti-codon position. Lineage: Bacteria; Bacillati; Chloroflexota; Dehalococcoidia. The record is from RNAcentral.